UGGGAACGUGCCCGAAGGUACGGAACAACUCCGGGAAACUGGAGCUAAUACUGUAUGUGCCCGAAAGGGGAAAGAUUCAUCGCCUUUGGAUCGGCCCGCGUCUGAUUAGCUAGUUGGCGGGGUAAUGGCCCACCAAGGCGACGAUCAGUAGCUGGUCUGAGAGGAUGAUCAGCCACAUUGGGACUGAGACACGGCCCAAACUCCUACGGGAGCAG
Molecule: ribosomal RNA, 215 nt
Filed under: uncultured bacterium
Lineage: Bacteria
Description: partial 16S ribosomal RNA
Rfam family: Bacterial small subunit ribosomal RNA
Source: RNAcentral